RNAcentral lists this ribosomal RNA (470 nucleotides) under uncultured bacterium. Its description in RNAcentral is "bacterial SSU rRNA". It matches the Rfam family "Bacterial small subunit ribosomal RNA", at positions 28 to 524 of the family's 1533-position model. The record is from RNAcentral.
GAUGAACGCUGGCGGCGUGCCUAACACAUGCAAGUCGAGCGAUUUACUUCGGUAAAGAGCGGCGGACGGGUGAGUAACGCGUGGGUAACCUGCCCUGUACACACGGAUAACAUACCGAAAGGUAUGCUAAUACGAGAUAAUAUACUUUUAUCGCAUGGUAGAAGUAUCAAAGCUUUUGCGGUACAGGAUGGACCCGCGUCUGAUUAGCUAGUUGGUAAGGUAACGGCUUACCAAGGCGACGAUCAGUAGCCGACCUGAGAGGGUGAUCGGCCACAUUGGAACUGAGACACGGUCCAAACUCCUACGGGAGGCAGCAGUGGGGAAUAUUGCACAAUGGGCGAAAGCCUGAUGCAGCAACGCCGCGUGAGCGAUGAAGGCCUUCGGGUCGUAAAGACUCUGUCCUCAAGGAAGAUAAUGACGGUACUUGAGGAGGAAGCCCCGGCUAACUACGUGCCAGCAGCCGCGGUAAU